GCUUGUCUCAAAGAUUAAGCCAUGCAUGUCUAAGUAUAAAUCUUUUACUUUGAAACUGCGAACGGCUCAUUAUAUCAGUUAUAGUUUAUUUGAUAGUCCCUUACUACUUGGAUAACCGUAGUAAUUCUAGAGCUAAUACAUGCGUCAAUACCCUUCUGGGGUAGUAUUUAUUAGAUUGAAACCAACCGCUUCGGCGUGAUGUGGUGAUUCAUAAUAACUUUUCGGAUCGCAUGGCGCAAGCCGGCGACGUUUCAUUCAAAUUUCUGCCCUAUCAACUUUCGAUGGUAAGGUAUUGGCUUACCAUGGUUACAACGGGUAACGGAGAAUUAGGGUUCGAUUCCGGAGAGGGAGCCUGAGAAACGGCUACCACUUCCAAGGAAGGCAGCAGG
This 389-nucleotide ribosomal RNA is filed under the name uncultured diatom. RNAcentral describes it as "partial small subunit ribosomal RNA". It matches the Rfam family "Eukaryotic small subunit ribosomal RNA", at positions 30 to 432 of the family's 1831-position model. The record is from RNAcentral. Lineage: Eukaryota; Bacillariophyta.